UUUCCGUAGGUGAACCUGCGGAAGGAUCAUUAACGAGUUAGGGUCUGCUAGGCCCGACCUCCCAACCCUUUGUUUACUGAACCUUUGUUGCCUCGGUGGGUCCGUCUUACGAUCGCCGGGGGAUCGCCGCGAGGCGCCCACUUGCCAGCGCCCACCGAUAGUCCAACCUUUAAAACCCUUUGUGAAUCGUGUCUUAUGUCUAAAUUUAUGAUUAAAAAAUCAAAACAAAACUUUCAACAACGGAUCUCUUGGUUCUG
This 257-nucleotide unclassified non-coding RNA is filed under the name plant metagenome. RNAcentral's name for it is "partial contains small subunit ribosomal RNA, internal transcribed spacer 1, and 5.8S ribosomal RNA". The record is from RNAcentral.